GUUAGUGCGCAGGCGUAGCAUGAAGGUCGGGCCCGGGAAGCGGGUCGUUCUUCGCGGAAAGUCUGUUGUAGAGUCUGUGCCCGGGGUGAGAGGCAAUGGGAGGGCUGGAUAUCAUCAGAACACCCCACGAUCCUCUGCCUUCACUCGAGGUGUGAUGACGUACUGACUGUGUGUUAGAAGGAGCUAGCCGCACUUUUUCUCACACCACAUUCCCUUUUGGUUUCUACAAGAAUUGACUGUGCAAGAAAGAGAGAAGAACAUCUCUGGUAACUAAGAUCAGAUACUAGAAGGAGAGGAUGUACAAAUGAAAAACCCAAAUAUCAUGAUCUGACAGUGAUGCUCAGUUCCUCAGGAUCUAAAUAUCAACGGCCUUUGAUCGUGGAAACAGAAUGCACCAUUCACAGUGGGAAGAAACUGUACACAUGUUCUGUGCGCGCAAGAGCCUACAGUGGAUCAUUUGGAUUUUCAAAACACAAGCGGAGUCACAUUGGGAAUAAACCAUGUAAAUGUGGGGACUAUGGGAAAGGAUUCAAUUAUCCCUAUGAGCUAGAAUGUCAUCGAUGCAGUCAUACAGGGGAAGGUCAUUCUGCUGAUUGAAUGCUGUAAAGUAUUUGUUUAUUUAUCUACCCUGCUGACACACCAGCAGGUUCACAAUGGAGAGAGGCCAUUGACCUGUUGUGUGUGUGGGAAGAGAUGCAUGUUUUUGUCUGUGAUGCUGAGACACCAGCAAGCUCUCAAUGAUGAGAGACAAUAUCAAUGCUCUGACUGGGAUAAGAGCUUUAAAUGUCCAUAUUGACUGAGAGAGCACCGGUACAUUCCCAUUAAGUACUCCCCAUUCCAAUGUUCUCACUGCAGCAAGAGAUUCAGGCGAUCAUCCAGUCUGUUGAUACAUCAGCGAUGGGGAGAGACCUUUCGCUUGCUCUGUGUGUGGGAAGGGAUUCAUUAAUUCAUCCAACCUGCUGAUACACUGGCGAGUCCACGGUGGGGAUAAACCCUUUCAAAUGCCUAGACUGUGGGAAGUGUGAUAAAAGUUCUAGGGUUCUGGCUCACCAUCAAACUGCUCACACUGAUGAAAGAUCAUUUAAAUGCACUCGCUGUGGGAGUGGAUUCCGGCGAUCAUCUGAUCUCUCACUACACCAGUGGGUUCAUACUGGGAAGAGGCCAUUCACCUGCUCCUUGUGUGGGAAGAGAUUUGCUCAUUUCUGCAACCUACGGAAACACCAAUGUUUUCACAAGUGACUGCAAAGAUUGGAUUCUGCUGUUAUUGUUAAUUAGAUCCAACACUGAACCAUGUUCAUUCGGACAGUUGCAAUCUGUUUCUGAUGAUUUUAAUCAUCUCCAGCCCAGCUCUGGUUGUUGGAAUUCUGGAUAAGUGUCAAAGUGUGUCAAGCCUUUCCUUGGAUAGCAAGAAGCUUUUUCCCAGAGUGGGGGACUCAAUUACUAGGGGUCACGAUUUCAAGGACAAGUUGAUUCCUUUUGAAUAACCUCUUUGUUGUUUCACAACAAUCAGUGUGUGCACAGCAAAAUCCAGCAAACAGCAAUGAGAUAAGUAACGAUUUAAUCAAGUUUUUUUUGGUGGUAAUGUUAUUUAAAACAGUAAAGUUAGUCCCAUUACAGAACCUCCCUGUGGACAGUGUGUAGAAUUUUUGAGGUCUCCUGAUGUGAAAGUGGAGCUGAUUUGAGAUGUUUGGUCUGCAAUGUACCUUGAAGGACUGCUAUGUGGGAUAAAAUUGUAGAAUCCCUACAUUGUGGAAGCAGGCAUUCAGCCCAUACUGACGUUCUGAAACGCAUCCCACCCUAUCCUUGUAACCUUGCAUUCCCCAUGGCUAAUCCACUUAACCUACACAUCCUUGGACUGUGGGAGGAAACCAGAGGAAACCCACACAGACACAGACACAGGGAGAAUGUGCAAGCUGCAAACAGGCAGCGACUCAAGGGUGGAAUUGAACCUGGGUCGCUAGCGCUGUGAGGCAAUAGUGCUAGCCACUGUGCCAGCUCUUUCCUUCAUUCACUGAUUCAGCUGAAUUUGUUUCUUCACUUUAAACAUCAAUUCCACUUUAAUCUAUGGAGCAAAUCUACAAACCAGCUGCAAUCAGUAUGGCCACCCAAUCUUUUUCUUCCCUUUCCUGUAUGCGAACAAGAACUAUCUUGUUCCCGUGCAAGUUUUAGCCACAAAUCUCGUUAUUGAUGCAGCUUAGAUUCUGCUUUGUUCCAAUGAAAAUUCUUCCAGUUUUUCUUCUGUCUCAUCAUGGGUAAGUGAAGUUGGUGGCUUCAGAGCAGAAUGAGACACCCUGAGAAACAGUUCAUUCCACAAUGAGCUGGUGUAAUCUGGAAUGCAGUGUCUGAAGGUUUGGUGCUGGAACAGGUACUUUGAAAAGGAAAUUGGAUAAGUGCUUGAAAGAAAGGCUGAUGGGGAAACAGUAGUGGAGUGGGCAGAGUUAGAGACUCAAAAGUCACUUCAGCUGCAGAUGGGUUGCCAUGACAACAGUGGUAAAACAUUCCAUUCCAUUGACUCAUGGGAAACGAAGGUAAAAUCUUAAGGUGCUUGGAUAUUGAAGAAAAUUGAGGCAUGAGGAGAAAGUAAGUGGUUAAUAUCUCAGUUCUGAGGAAGGGUCACCGGACCUGAAACAUUAUCUCUGUUUUUUCCUUCACAGAUGCUGCCAGACCUGCUGAGCUUUUCCAGCAACUUUGUUUUUGUUGUGGUUAAUAUCUGGAAUGUGCUGCCUGAGAGGGUGGUCAAGGCAGAAUCAAUUGAGAUAUUCAAAGUGAAAUUGGUUUAUUAUCUGAGUAGGAAGAAGCUGUAGGAAUUUCACUUGUGAAUUUCUCAGUCAGAGAGGCACCCAGUGUUACAGGAAGGAGUUGAGGGAUUGAAGCUCGGUGAAUUGAUGAUUAAGACAGCAUCCUACAGCAGCCAAAAUGCCCAGUUCCUCCCAGAUGUAAUGGGAAGAAGCAGCAAAAUUGACACUGAAUUGAUACCUCAUUCAGAAAGCUAGCACAGAUGGUUAACUGGUACCAAUGCUUUCUUUUCCCCCGACGAUCUUAUUGCUGCCACAGUAGGGACAUUGUAAAAUGGAGGUUGGUGCUUGUUCACCUGUAGCUGCCACAGUGCAGUUUCUGUUCUGCAACCUCUGAUCUGAGCUGAAUGGCCUGAAAGCUUACUGUUGCCCUGCUCUUACUUGUAAUGUUUGGGCCCACCACCUUCCUUAGUGGAUCAGGUGAAAAACAUUGUUCAUCUGACGUGACAUGUGUGUGUCUCUCGCGGUGUUGUCUGUGCUUGUCAGGGCUGACCUCACAGUAAUCCUCCCUGCAGCAUGAUUGCGAGGCUUCACCUCAAAGCCCUUCACCCGCUGCUGCUCAUCUUGUCAUCAGGCAUUUUCUUGCUGCUAACCACCAUUUCUCUGGGUGUGGUCACCCCCUGACUCCAAGUCUGAAUAUUGCUAGCAGCUUCUGAGAGCUUGGGACAGAAUGGACAGAACACAAUACCAUUGAAAACUAGCAUCAUUGUUUACUAUAAAUCAUGUACAAAAGCAUCUGAUGGGUAGAAUGGUUUCCUCCUGUGUUGCAAUAACAUUUCAUGUCUUCUUAAAUGUAUUUAUUUUUCUUUAUUCUAGUAUCUCACAAAAUACAACAGGGAUUUCCUGUAGGUCCUUCUUUAUCUGGAGAUUAUAUAUAAUUAUAAUUAUAAUUAUAAUUAUAUAUAAUCUCUUAUAUAAUUGUAACUGAGGUUAACAGGCUCAUGUGAACUCUCCAUCUGCUAUUUAAGGCAGACUUUAAACAAUUUCAAGCAGGUCUGUUUUAAGAGUUAACACCAGCUUUGAGGUGGUGGUUACUUUGUAGUGGGUAGUCGGUUAAAGACUGGAUAUUUAAACCUGUUGCUUUACUUUCAGGCAGGGACAGAUCACAGUUUGACACCAGUCUCUGAUUUGACAGCGUGUUUCCAGCAUUCAUUGUUGUUCUUCCUGACUCUAAGCAUCAUCGUAAAGGAGCUUCUGUUCUGUAUCGAAGAGACUGAACCAUUGAAAAGUGCAGCUGGGAAUCAUUUCUUCCACCUCAGGAUUAACCCACAUGGAGACUUUGCUGUCAGAGAAGAGAGAUGAGAAAGAUCAAAGUGCUAUUUGUCCCUUUCAUUGUGACUCUGAAGAACUAUGUCCAGGCUGAAAUUCUGUUGCUGCCAUUGAUCCCUCCCCAGAUUAUCGUUUCUGCGCUCCAGCAGGUGCUCAGUUAAACACUUCGAUAGGAAAGAAAAAUCCACAGCAAUGUAUUUAAGUAAAGCUGAAUUAUUAACCAUGUAUCCAAAAUAUCAAGUUACAGCCUGGUUACAAAAAAAUGUUAAUAUGGACAGAAGCAAACCUCAACUAUCAGAACAUUAUUCAGUCCUGGCUGUGAGUAACAGCAGAAUCCAACCCCUGCAGUCACUGGUGAACUCACAAGUGCCUCAGUCGGCGGAAUGACUGAGUGACUAUCGUCCCUAACACCAAGCAGGUGAACAGCUUCUCACAGUGUCAGUGGGUUUGUGGGACAGCAAUUCCAUUUUGUUUUACAUAUCUGACCACAGAAUGUUGAAAAGUUUACUUAUCAAAAUGUGCAAGUUGCUGGAAAAUGAAUUGGAUGACCAAUUCGAAUCUUUUGUCACACACAGAACAGAUGAUGGUUUUCUCCCUGGUGUGCAUUUGCUGGUGGGUAAUGAGUUCACAUCAUCCUUUACAGCCAAUCUCACUGUUAGAUACUCUCUUGUCUGUGUGAACACAUUGAUAGCACAUCACAUCCUGCAAUCAAUCAUUUAAAGGCUCUUCUGCCAAUGAGAACUUUGUGGUGUGUCCACAGAAUUGUAAUCAAUAUGAGAAUCAGGUGUUAUGGGGAUAAGGAAGGAAAGUGGAAUUGAGGAUGAUCAGAUCAACCAUGAUCUCUUUUGGUGGUGGAAGACUUGAUGGGCUGAAUGGCCUACUUCUGCUCCUAUGCCUUGUGUCCAUUUUGCAGCACCAUAGCCCAGGCCUUGUCAUGACAUAGGCUGCCUUCAGCACAGCCAACUCAUUUUCACCUACUUAUAGCCCCCAUUAUCGGCAUUUCUUUCUCCCUGGUAUACUAUCGCUCACACUUUUUCUUCUUAUCCUUGUCCCCACCCUGUCUUCAGCUUAUCUACCACUUUUCAUUGGCCUUUCAGUUUCUUUUUACAUUCCUGUUUCUUACAUGUGAUUGUCUAAGUUCCUUUUAGAAAUACCUCAGCUUAUUGUUUGAAACACUUCCUGUAGUGGUGAGCUCCACAUCCCAACUACACUGAGGAAAGACAUUUUCCCUUAUUUCCCUGUUGGAUUUAUGAGUAACCACCUUGUGAUCAUGGCCAUUCAUUUAGGAUCUUGCCCAGAGGUGGACUUAUGUCCAGGUCAGCAAGGUCCUACAUGGCAAACUGAGUAUAAAAUUAAAGCUCACAAAAUCCAAGCACAAGUUACAACUUCCAUCCAAAGUUGACUGGAUGGUAGGAAGCAAUGAAUAAUAGUCACUGGGUGUUUGUUUAUGUGACAGGAUGGUUGUUUCCUGUGAUGUUCCAAUGGGCUCAGUCCUGGGUCCUUCAGUCCUGAAUUAUAUUAUUGAUGCAGAUGAGAUGUAGGGACAUAGAAAUUUUCAUAUGAUACAAAAGAUCAUUGUGUUCUUGAUAUUAAGAACAAAAGCAGUUGAUCACAGGAAAUUAACAAUGAACUGGUCAGGACAUGAGAAAUAAAUGCAGAAUUAGACAUUUGGCCAAUUGAUCAUGGUCCACCAUCCAGUAAGCUUAUGACUGAGCUUACUGCCUGUCCCUUUUUGAUGAAAAUUCUAUUCCUCAGCCUCAAAUAUUUUCAAAAGCCAAGCCUGCAUAGCUCCCUCACUAAACACACACAAACUUUUCAAGGAAGAAAUUCCUCUUUGUCUCUGUCUUAAACCAAAACUUCUUUUCUUAAACAGUUUCCCUCUUCUAGAUUCCCCCACAAGAGGAAACAACCUCUCAGCAGCUAACUUGUCAGGUCCCAUCAGAAUUUUGUUUUUACGAGAUCAACAGUCAACCCCAAAUUAUUCCUCAAAUAAGAAACCUUUCAUCCUGGGCAUUGCCCUUUGGAACCUCUUAAGAAUUGUUUCCAAUGCAAAUAUAGCCCUCCUGAAGGAAGCAGAUUCGAGCUGUUGUUCGGACUGUAACAGGAGGAAUAUGUUGGUAAUCAAUUAAAGUACGGCCCCAUGAUA
Rhincodon typus (whale shark) is the source of this 6210-nucleotide long non-coding RNA. RefSeq lists it as uncharacterized. NCBI's taxonomy places the organism in Eukaryota, Metazoa, Chordata, Chondrichthyes, Orectolobiformes, Rhincodontidae. The record is from RefSeq and is a predicted model, not a curated record. The transcript is spliced from 4 exons.